CUUGACGUUAGCGGCGGACGGGUGAGUAACACGUGGGUAACCUACCUAUAAGACUGGGAUAACUUCGGGAAACCGGAGCUAAUACCGGAUAAUAUUUCAACCGCAUGGUUCGAUAGUGAAAGGUGGUUUUGCUAUCACUUAUAGAUGGACCCGCGCCGUAUUAGCUAGUUGGUAAGGUAACGGCUUACCAAGGCGACGAUACGUAGCCGACCUGAGAGGGUGAUCGGCCACACUGGAACUGAGACACGGUCCAGACUCCUACGGGAGGCAGCAGUC
Molecule: ribosomal RNA, 276 nt
Filed under: uncultured Staphylococcus sp.
Lineage: Bacteria; Bacillati; Bacillota; Bacilli; Caryophanales; Staphylococcaceae
Description: partial 16S ribosomal RNA
Rfam family: Bacterial small subunit ribosomal RNA
Source: RNAcentral